Molecule: long non-coding RNA, 443 nt
Filed under: Cavia porcellus (domestic guinea pig)
Lineage: Eukaryota; Metazoa; Chordata; Mammalia; Rodentia; Caviidae
Description: lncRNA (ENSCPOG00000037101.1)
Source: RNAcentral
UGGCUUUUGCAGCUUAGCAAACUGCAUGUGUGAUAUAAGAGAAAAACAGUCAUCCAGGAUUACUUCUGGGCUUUGGAGCUAAGCAAGUACAACCACAAGACUGGCAUUUUCUGAGAAAGGGGACAAGAAGCAGCAUCUGGGAUGGCGCACAUCACAUUUUGGGUGCCAGAUCAAUGUCUGAAGUGAGAAGUCAAAAAGAUGGCUGAAUCUACAAACCCAGCCCUCAAGUCCGUGGAAAAGAAAAACGUUAGGAGCGUCAAGGAAGGUCUCGGCCAGGCCUGGUGACAUGCUUCCUGCCUCGGCUGGCUUCCUCUCCAGUCAGCUGCCAUGGGAAGUCUCUCAUUCAAAGUGUUAACCAGAAAGACAAGAACACUUGAAAAAUAUCCAAUCAGCUCUCCCAGAACUUAGUUUUAAUAAGAGGUCAGCCUGACAUUUAUUUUCCA